RNAcentral lists this ribosomal RNA (660 nucleotides) under Kocuria marina. RNAcentral's name for it is "partial 16S ribosomal RNA". It matches the Rfam family "Bacterial small subunit ribosomal RNA", at positions 66 to 734 of the family's 1533-position model. The record is from RNAcentral. Lineage: Bacteria; Bacillati; Actinomycetota; Actinomycetes; Micrococcales; Micrococcaceae.
GCUGAAGCUUGGUGCUUGCACUGGGUGGAUGAGUGGCGAACGGGUGAAUAAUACGUGAAUAACCUGCCCUUGACUCUGGGAUAAGCCUGGGAAACUGGGUCUAAUAAUGGAUAUGACCUCCUGUCCCAUGGUGGGGGGUGGAAAGGGUUUGUACUGGUUUUGGAUGGGGUCCCGGCCUAUCAUCUUGUUGGUGGGGUAAUGGCCUUCCAAAGGGACAACCGGUAGCCGGCCUGAGAAGGGGACCGGCCCCCCUGGGGCUGAGACACCGCCCCCACUCCUACGGGGGGGGGCAGUGGGGAAAAUUGCCCAAUGGGGGCAAGCCUGAUGCAGCGACGCCCCGUGAGGGAUGACGGGCUUCCGGUUGUAAACCUCUUUCAACACGGAAAAAACCAAAGUGACUGUACCUGCAAAAAAACCGCCCGGUAACUUACUGGCAACACCCCGGGUAAUACGUAGGGGGCAAGCGUUGUCCGGAAUUAUUGGGCGUAAAGAGCUCGUAUGGCGGUUGUCCCGUCUGGUGUGAAAGCCCGGGGCUUUACCCCCGGUGGGCCCUGGGUUCCGGCAGACUUGCAUGCAAGAAGGGGAACCUGUACUCCUGGGGGAACGGUGAAAAUAUCAGAUAUCACGCAGAACACUGAUGGGGAACGUAGGUCUCUGGGU